UUUGAAGGCUAGGAUCAGAAGGUUUAGGUUUUUGGUUAAGGUUUUGGUGCAAGUUUUGUGUCAUUUGGGGUUUUAAUGAAGAAGUUAGAGGCGCUCAAAGUUAAGGUAUUAGUUUUGGACCUACUGUCACUCUUUUGGGCAUAACGCACACGUACAGACGGCAAUUGAGGAUCGGCGACUGCGACUGGAGAGAUCACUUUUGCGACUAUACUUUUCACAUAUUGUUUACUGGAUUCAAAGUUGCGAUAAAGGAGUUAUUGGAUUUUGAAGUCAGCACAUGCAAUCUAAAGGUAGUAAGUAAACCGAUUUAUUAGUGUUUGUCUCUUGAACUAUAUCUUGAGCAAUUUUGUAAGGUUUUGGCUCAAAAUUUCAAGGAAUGUGUAAUUGCAUGUUAGUAAACUUUUUACAUAAGUUUUAUGACAUUUGGAGUUCGGGUUUUUGAGAUAUAAGGAAAAUAGUUUUCGGGUGCUUGUAAAUUAGGGUUUGGAGUGUCUGCUAGGGUUUCUUAGAUGCCAGAAGAUCGGGAGUGAAUUUUCGGUUGGUUUUUUUUGUGGUACAAGUUAAGGGUAAAUUCUACCUAUCUUGUAAAUUUGAAACAAACUGAACGGUUAGAUCAAUAGUUAUGAUUUUCUAAAGUUCCGGGCGAGAAAACCCUUCGCGGGAAAAAUAUGUUUUGAAGGGAUUUUGUUAUAUUUGGAGUUUUAUACAAAAAUAAAGGAGUUUUGGAAGC
This 730-nucleotide long non-coding RNA is filed under the name Physcomitrium patens. Its description in RNAcentral is "long non-coding RNA (PPAT_LNC005998)". The record is from RNAcentral. Lineage: Eukaryota; Viridiplantae; Streptophyta; Bryopsida; Funariales; Funariaceae.